GAUGAACGCUGGCGGCGUGCCUAAUACAUGCAAGUCGAGCGAACAGACGAGGAGCUUUCUCCUCUGCCGUUAGCGGCGGACGGGUGAGUAACACGUGGAUCACCUACCUAUAAUACUUGGAUAACUUCGGGAAACCGGAGCUACUACCGGAUCAUAUAUUGAACCGCAUGGUUCAAUAGUGAAAGACGGUUUUGCUGUCACUUAUAGCUGGAUCCGCGCCGCAUUAGCUAGUUGGUAAGGUAACGGCUUACCAAGGCGACGAUGCGUAGCCGACCUGAGAGGGUGAUCGGCCACACUGGAACUGAGACACGGUCCAGACUCCUACGGGAGGCAGCAGUAGGGAAUCUUCCGCAAUGGGCGAAAGCUUGACGGAGCAACGCCGCGUGAGUGAUGAAGGUCUUCGGAUCGUAAAACUCUGUUAUUAGGGAAGAACAAAAGUGUAAGUAAAUAUGCACGUCUUGACGGUACCUAAUCAGAAAGCAACGGCUAACUACGUG
This 497-nucleotide ribosomal RNA is filed under the name uncultured bacterium. Its description in RNAcentral is "partial 16S ribosomal RNA". It matches the Rfam family "Bacterial small subunit ribosomal RNA", at positions 28 to 507 of the family's 1533-position model. The record is from RNAcentral.